Molecule: unclassified non-coding RNA, 3810 nt
Filed under: Leishmania donovani
Lineage: Eukaryota; Euglenozoa; Kinetoplastea; Trypanosomatida; Trypanosomatidae
Description: gene:LdHU3.25.2600(CDS-product:helicase-like_prot ein_putative)
Source: RNAcentral
UCCGGUAUUAUUCCAUAGGAGAAGCAAGACAUUGUGUCUGUGCGUGCUGACCUGCCUUCUCUCUUGUGGCCUCACUUCGCCUUCCUCCCAAACGCAGCGCCCAAUCACGCUGCUCAUCGUGUCGGCGUGUUCAUCAGCACGCAGCCCAGCGCACGGAAGAUCUUUAGCCCCCUUCCCCGCACCCAUCCACCCACCCACCCACCCCCCACACACACAUAAUGAACCUUGACAACUACUUCGCCAAGUUCCUGCAGAAGGGCAGCGGCCGGAGCGCAAUAGGAGGCAAGUUGGAGGAAGUCACGCCCUCCUCCGCCGCCGCCGCCGGGGUUUGUGUGCCGGUGGCACCAGCCACCGCCACCUCGUCGAAGCAGUUCAGCGAAGUAGAGGGCCACACGCCUUCGCAGGGUGGAGGUCAAUCACCCGAGGACGCGGCCGAAGCGCAGGUUCAGCCUUCGUGCGUCUCACCGAACGCAGCCGGCGACCUGUGUUACCGGCGUCAGCGAAAGUCGGACGCUGGUGCAACGGAGAGGAUGACCGUCACCGCAUCGUCGGUGAGCACACACCAGCGUGCACCGUCAUUGAAGAGGUCUCGCGAGGCGGCAGUGGGGAUAUCGUCCUCUCCCGCUCCGUCUCAGUCGGCGAUGGACGCGCCGGCGGCAAAGAGGCUCCUCACAUGCCGCGCAGCCUCGGAGGACGCCGAUGAUGAACUCGAGCUACUGCUGGGCUCGCAGAAGGCAAAGCAGGUGCGCGAGGCGGACGCCAUGCUGGAGGACGUGGCUCGUGCGCAGCAGGCCCCCUCGCCGCCGUUGUCGUCGUCGUCACCUGGGCAAGUUAGCAACGGCGUCGUGGGCACCUCCAGUGCGUGUGCGGUGGGUAGCCUCGCCUGGCAAACGUCGUCCUCAGCGACGCGAGAGACCAUCGCACGUUACUUCCAACGCCAGCUGGAGUGGGAGCUGCACCACAGUGCCGACCUUUUCGCCGCCUUCGAGCCCUUCUUCAAGGACCGCGCACUGGACCGCAUCGCCGCCGACGAUGCGCUGCGGCCGGUGCUGCACGCCGCGCCGCUGUCCAUUACGAGCGAGACAGUGGGAGCCCUGCCGGGGUGCGCGCUGCGCUCCUACCAGGUGGAGGGCGUGCAGUUCCUCCUGAGCCACUUCCAUCGCGGCAUGUCAGCUAUCCUCGGUGAUGACAUGGGCCUCGGCAAGACUGCGCAGGUGUCCGCCUUCCUACACACCCUGAAGCAGCUGCACAACAUCGACGGUCCACACCUCAUCGUCGCCCCUCUUUCCACACUGACGAGCUGGACGCGUGAGCUGGCGCGGUGGGCACCGCAGCUGCGGGUGUUGAAGUACCACGGUGAGCGCCGUACACGCGCCGCCAUCAGCUCCGGCCGCCACAACCGCCACGCCGUAUUCGUGACGACGCCGGCGCUCCUCCACCUCGAUAAGCGCUUCUUCCGUAAGCGCGCGUGGGUGACGGUCGUGGUGGACGAGGCGCACGUGCUCAAGGCGCACGACACGGCCAUCACGUCCGCGUCACGGAAGCUCACAGCAUGCUACCGGGUCGCGGUGACGGGCACGCCAGUGCACAACAACGUGCAGGAAGUGUGGAGUCUGAUGAGCUUUCUCUACCCCUGGCUCAUGGCCUCCUACGAUCCACGAGCGCGCGACCCGGUGCGGCAGGCGGAGGAGUGUGCCAAGGUGCUGCAGUACAUCAUGCUGCGCCGCACCAAGGCAGACAUGGAGCUCGGCAUCCCGCCUCGCGUGGAUGAGCCGCUGACGAAGCUGGUGCCGACCGACAUACAGCUGCAGCUGCUCUCCUUGCUGACAGCACACGCUCUGCAGGAAAGUAGCACUGGCCAUCAACUGCAUGGCCACCUCAGCCACCAGAGGGCCGUGUGCAACCACCCACUGGCGCUGCGUCUGCUGGCGGACAAGGGGCGCACGCACGGGUCGCAGGAGUCAGCCGAGAAACGCAUGCGAGCUGCCGGAGUGCCCAUGGACGCGGCGCACCUCAUCGACCCCAGCGCCAAGAUGCGCUACCUCGACACGCUGCUGCCGCAGCUGAAGGCACAAGGACACCGCUGCCUGAUCUUCUCGAACUUCACCACAACGCUGGAUCUGCUCGAAGCCAUGUGCCACCUGCGCGGCCACAGCUACGAGCGGCUUGACGGCAGCUGCAACCGAGUCGAGCGGGAGCUGUCGAUGUUGCGCUACAAUCACCCCGCCUCCUCGUGCUUUCUCUUUCUGGUCACCACCACCGCCGGAGGCGUCGGCGUCACCCUCACCGGCGCUGACACGGUGAUUCUCUUCGACGCACACUUCAACCCGCAGCUUGAUCGGCAGGCAGCGGACCGGGCGCACCGCAUCGGUCAAACACGCACUGUGCACGUAUACCGGUUGUGCCUGCAGGGCACCAUCGAGGAGCAUAUCCGCGACAUUGCAGCCCGCAAGGCGUACCUCGGCGACUUCAUCGUCGAAGGAGGCCAGCGUCACGGCGCGCGUGGGCGCGGCCGCUGUGCCGACGACGGCGCUAAUACCCCGUGCAUCACCGCGGACGACAUUCGCGAAAUGUUUCAGCAGCUCGACGAAAAGCAACACGCGAAGCAGCAGACCGACGGAUCCUCUGUUUCUUCACCGACUUUACUGCGCCCCUCCGACGGGGCGGAGGGCAGCAACAGUAGCGCUAGCCAAACGGCGGCGGACGCGAUGGUGAAGGACCUCCUACGUGUGGUAAAAAAAGGUCUGCAAGGCGCUGCGGCUACCGCGGGAAUCCGUGGCGGUGGCCGUGGACUUGCCUCGCCGCCCAAGCAGACGCACAGCUGCUUCUGCUGCGGUGGCAUCAUGUAUCCAAUGGAGCCGCUGCUGCACUGCAUGGUGUGCCCGAAGGCUUACCACGCCGCCUGUAUCGGCGAGCGGCCGCCGAGGCCGGGGGAGGCGGUGAAGCGCUUCUGGUCGUGCCCGCGGCAUGAAUGCUUUUUGUGUGGCAAGCAGCAGGCGGCCGAUGGCGCCAUCUUCAUGUGCGACGCGUGCCCUCGCUCCUUCUGCUUCGACUGCCUCGACCCGCGCUACCUUGAGAUGGACGCGUCCGGGGCCCGAUUGCUGCACAUCCGUGACACCUACGCUGGGAUGGAGGAGGAGGAGGUGGAGCCGAGGCGGUCUUGCUACUAUGUAACGUGUCUGCGGUGCUGUGGACUGCUCUCGUCGUCGAGCUCUGCCUCGGAAGACACGGACGAAGUCGAUAGUGAUGAGGACGACGUUGGUGGCUGUGGCACGGCGACCGCGGUGGACAGCGACGGCCUCGCAAGUGUUGAUGGCCACGGCGAUGCAAGCGUCGAGGACGGCGACAACUGAUGGAAUGGCCUCGUGUGUCCCCUUCUCUCUCUCUGGUAUAUGGGAGAGGGAGAAAAGGUGUGGCAGGCAACCGUCGGAUGGAGGAUGGAUAGUACGAACAGAGCGCCUCACGUACCGAGGCGACACAUGUCUGUGUCCGCCAGUCUGUGCCGGUUAGAGAUGUACCAUCGGCAUUACAGUCAUGGUCCCUUACACUGCACGCAUACCCAUAGACAUAUACACACAUAUGUAUAUCUUCCUCCCGUGCCUCUCUGCCUAACGGUGGAUGACAGCUCCCUCACCGACUCCCUCCCUGUCGUGCGUGGAUACGCGCUUUCGUUUGUUGUCGCCGGCGAUUUGGGCGGCAGCGACGAGAAGAACGAGAGAGACGGGGAAGGCGAGGCGGACCUGCGUCGGGUUUGGCUGAGAGGGCCGUACCGCCUUGCGUUGCAGGAGGAGGCGAACGAAAGCCCCGGCG